AAGUAACUGCUGUUUCUCUCAUUUCCUGUAGUGUCCAGAUUCAGCAUGCAAGCAGGAUCUGUUGGCCUAUCUGCAGCGUAUAGCCCUUUACUGUCACCAGCUCAAUAUCUGCAGUAAAGUCAAAGCAGAGGUGCAAAAUCUGGGCGGAGAGCUUGUGGUGUCUGGGGUAGACAGUGCUAUGUCUCUGAUCCAGGCAGCCAAGAAUCUGAUGAAUUCUGUGGUGUCCACUGUGAAGGCCUCCUACGUGGCCUCCACCAAGUACCAGAAGUCUCAAGGAAUGCAAAACCUCAACAUGCCCGCCAUCUCCUGGAGGAUGAAAGCUCCCGAAAAGAAGCCGCUGGUCAAGCGUGAGAAGCAAGACGAUGGCCAGACCAACAAAGUGAAGCGGUCCUCUCAAAAGAAGCACGUCAACCCUGUGCAGGCCCUAAGCGAGUUCAAAGCAAUGGAUAGUAUUUAAGCAGCCUUCAUUUCAUUAGAUUAUGUUUCAGAUGUAGAUUGAGCCUUAAAAUCAGUCAGAUUUAGCAAGUACACAUUUAAUCGCAUUCCUGUACCUUAGUCACCAAUCUGCUCUUUUUCCAUAAGCAGUGGCUUUGCUGAGUGCACUGAGAGGUCUAUAUAGCAAAUGUUGUAUUUUUACACACGAAUGCAUUAAUCUGCUCAAUCUUUACACAGGUUUUCUUCCCGAUUACAGGUAGGGGCAUACAUUAAAUUCUGGGCAUUCCCUGACAGUUUGAGUGCGUUUCCCCUUUUUCUAGAUGACUAUUGUGUAUUUUUUUAAAAAAACAUUUAAGUGUAUUUUACAAGAAGACUUUUAUAUAUUUCACACUAAGGCCUUUGAUAUUGCUCAUUACUGUCUGAUUUUUGUUUUUCUUUUCCAUUUUUCAUGCCUAUGCAAACUCUCACUGUAACACUUGCAAUACUUGUGUUUUGGUAUGAAACUAUAAAAGGAAAAAUAGGCUUUGAUUUAGUGUCUCAAGACCAAAGUCAUUGUAUUUUGCUGUGCCUAAUAAACUUUUUGAUAACUUUUUGUUUUGCUUUGAUUAAAUGUAAAAUAGACUAAUUUUGGUGAAUAUUAAUACUUUA
Non-coding RNA from Pimephales promelas (fathead minnow), 1083 nucleotides. The record is from RefSeq and is a predicted model, not a curated record. NCBI's taxonomy places the organism in Eukaryota, Metazoa, Chordata, Actinopteri, Cypriniformes, Leuciscidae.